This 502-nucleotide ribosomal RNA is filed under the name uncultured Gammaproteobacteria bacterium. RNAcentral describes it as "bacterial SSU rRNA". It matches the Rfam family "Bacterial small subunit ribosomal RNA", at positions 48 to 542 of the family's 1533-position model. Lineage: Bacteria; Pseudomonadati; Pseudomonadota; Gammaproteobacteria. The record is from RNAcentral.
CUUACACAUGCAGUCGAGCGGUAGAAGUAGCUUGCUACUUUUGAGAGCGGCGGACGGCCGAUUAAUGCGUGGGAAUCUACCUGGUAGUGGGGGACAACAGUUGGAAACGACUGCUAAUACCGCAUACGCCCUACGGGGGAAAGCGGGGGAUCUUCGGACCUCGUGCUAUCAGAUGAGCCCGCGUGAGAUUAGCUAGUUGGUGGGGUAAAGGCCUACCAAGGCGACGAUCUCUAGCUGGUCUGAGAGGAUGAUCAGCCACACUGGGACUGAGACACGGCCCAAACUCCUACGGGAGGCAGCAGUGGGAAAUAUUGGACAAUGGGCGCAAGCCUGAUCCACCCAUUCCGCGUGUGUGAAGAAGGCCUUCGGGUUGAAAAGCAUUUUCCCCGAGGAGGAAAGGUUAAGUGUUAAUACCACUUUGCUUGUGACUUUACCUCGCAAAAAAAGAACCGGUUUAAUUUCUGUGCCACCACCCGCGGUAAUUACGGAGGGGGCAAGCCUU